This 253-nucleotide ribosomal RNA is filed under the name uncultured prokaryote. Its description in RNAcentral is "partial 16S ribosomal RNA". It matches the Rfam family "Bacterial small subunit ribosomal RNA", at positions 524 to 776 of the family's 1533-position model. The record is from RNAcentral.
AACGUAGGAGACGAGCGUUAUCCGGAUUUACUGGGCGUAAAGCGUGUGCAGGCGGUUUGGCAAGUUGGAUGUGAAAUCUCCCGGCUCAACUGGGAUGGGUCGUUCAAUACUACCGAACUUGAGGGCAUCAGAGGAAGGUGGAAUUCCCGGUGUAGUGGUGAAAUGCGUAGAUAUCGGGAGGAACACCAGUGGCGAAGGCGGCCUUCUGGGAUGUUUCUGACGCUCAUACACGAAAGCUAGGGGAGCGAACGGG